RNAcentral lists this ribosomal RNA (484 nucleotides) under uncultured bacterium. RNAcentral's name for it is "partial 16S ribosomal RNA". It matches the Rfam family "Bacterial small subunit ribosomal RNA", at positions 30 to 507 of the family's 1533-position model. The record is from RNAcentral.
AUUGAACGCUGGCGGCAGGCCUAACACAUGCAAGUCGAGCGGAUGAAGGGAGCUUGCUCCUGGAUUCAGCGGCGGACGGGUGAGUAAUGCCUAGGAAUCUGCCUGGUAGUGGGGGAUAACGUCCGGAAACGGGCGCUAAUACCGCAUACGUCCUGAGGGAGAAAGUGGGGGAUCUUCAGACCUCACGCUAUCAGAUGAGCCUAGGUCGGAUUAGCUAGUUGGUGGGGUAAAGGCCUACCAAGGCGACGAUCCGUAACUGGUCUGAGAGGAUGAUCAGUCACACUGGAACUGAGACACGGUCCAGACUCCUACGGGAGGCAGCAGUGGGGAAUAUUGGACAAUGGGCGAAAGCCUGAUCCAGCCAUGCCGCGUGUGUGAAGAAGGUCUUCGGAUUGUAAAGCACUUUAAGUUGGGAGGAAGGGCAGUAAGUUAAUACCCUGCUGUUUUGACGUUACCAACAGAAUAAGCACCGGCUAACUUCGUG